Molecule: ribosomal RNA, 262 nt
Filed under: uncultured bacterium
Lineage: Bacteria
Description: partial 16S ribosomal RNA
Rfam family: Bacterial small subunit ribosomal RNA
Source: RNAcentral
AGUGGCGGGACGGGUGAAGUAACGCGGUGGUAACCUGCCCCAUACAGGGGGAUAACAGAUAGAAAUGUCUGCUAAUACCGCAUAAGACCACAGCGCCGCAUGGCGCAGGGGUAAAAACUCCGGUGGUAUGGGAUGGACCCGCGUCUGAUUAGCUAGUUGGUGGGGUAAAGGCCCACCAAGGCGACGAUCAGUAGCCGACCUGAGAGGGUGACCGGCCACAUUGGGACUGAGACACGGCCCAAACUCCUACGGGAGGCAGCAG